UUAGCAUUGAAGUAGAGCUAUAAACUUGGGCUUCCAGUUUUCAGCCUCACACCAUUCUGCUUACCUACUGUACAGGUACCCAUGAGAAAAGACAGCUGUAUUAGAAGGUACAUAGGUUCUACAAGGUCAAUGUAUGGAGAAAGCAAAGGGAAAUCAUUAAAGUUGUUCCACUGCCCUGGACACUUCCAUUAGACUAGGAUGGCCUGUAUGCUAUUAACUUGAAACUACAUGUGUGAAUUGCCCUGUCCAGGCUCUGUCUUUGAUCAUUGUGUCUGUGACAGGAGGUGUCAAGCAUCUUUCAUGCUACUUUUUUUUUUUUAUUUUUGGUAUCUGGAACUUUUACUAUAUAGCUUCGAGGAAUAACAUCCUGAAAAUUUUGCUUUGCUGGGAGUCACAUCAAAGGAACUUCAAUAAGCCACAGUACAGGAUUUAAAGGGUGGAACCUCAAACACUGUGUAGAAGGGAGGCCAAAAAAAAGCAAAGCAAAUGGGACAAUUCCUUUCCCUUCAUUUUCCUAUAACUUAUCUGACAUUCUAAACCAAAACCAACAUCUGAACCCCAUUGGCUCUUCUUCAUCAACAACAGGAUGACUGAUACUAAGAGGUUGAAGAAAAUUCAUCAAAAUAUAUUCUCUGAAGUUAGAGUUGUCAUGUUGAUUUUGUGUACAAUAGGCAAGAACAUGCAUUACUGAAACUGCUCUUUUUCUCCUUCUCUCAUUCCUUUUUUUUUUUCCCUAUUCGGCACAAGCAGGUUUCAAGCCAGGCAUGUGUUUGCCUAAGAAAUUUGGCUAUCAGUGCGGACAUCCAGGCCGAGAUGGUUGCUGAGAAUGUCCUGUCCAAGCUGUGCUCUCUCCUGGCAUCUGGCAGCGAGGACGUGCGUCGUGCCUCCAUCGCUCUGCUCUGGAUACUGUCCCAGCACCUGCACAACCAGGUAGGGGAGGUCAUUUCCCAAGAAUAGAAGGGAAAGAGUAGUUCUGGCCUGGGGUAACACUCUGUUAUGGCAAAACUGCAUGUGAAAUGGAUUUUGAGAAUGACCAAUAGGCUCUGGGAGACUUCCCAACCCUUCUCUUUC
Molecule: long non-coding RNA, 1071 nt
Filed under: Manacus vitellinus (golden-collared manakin)
Lineage: Eukaryota; Metazoa; Chordata; Aves; Passeriformes; Pipridae
Description: lncRNA (ENSMVIG00005017239.1)
Source: RNAcentral